Molecule: ribosomal RNA, 58 nt
Filed under: Swartzia nicaraguensis
Lineage: Eukaryota; Viridiplantae; Streptophyta; Magnoliopsida; Fabales; Fabaceae
Description: partial 26S ribosomal RNA
Source: RNAcentral
CGGGACCUCAGGUCAGGCGGGGCUACCCGCUGAGUUUAAGCAUAUCAAUAAGCGGAGG